AACUAUCAAAACACUUUUCUUGGGUGUUUUGGACUUUGGGAGUAUAUUGCUGGUCUGUUUGAGCCAGCUCUCCUCAAAAGCAUUAGCUUUGGAGACCAUCAGUGUGAUAAUUUAUUUACACUGACUUGAGUGUCUCAGCUUCUCCUUUCGAUGCCC
RNAcentral lists this unclassified non-coding RNA (156 nucleotides) under uncultured Amanita. Its description in RNAcentral is "sequence contains ITS2". Lineage: Eukaryota; Fungi; Basidiomycota; Agaricomycetes; Agaricales; Amanitaceae. The record is from RNAcentral.